This 368-nucleotide ribosomal RNA is filed under the name uncultured eukaryote. RNAcentral describes it as "SSU rRNA". It matches the Rfam family "Eukaryotic small subunit ribosomal RNA", at positions 587 to 963 of the family's 1831-position model. The record is from RNAcentral.
AGCUCCAAUAGCGUAUAUUAAAGUUGUUGCGGUAAAAAGCUCGUAGUUGGAUUUCUGUUGAGGGCAACCGGUCCACACCAUGUGUGCGCAUCUGGGCUGACCUCGGCAUCCUAUCCGGAAUGGCAUUGUGCUUCAUUGCGUGAUGUUGGUUCGGGUACUUUUACUUGAGGAAAUUAGAGUGUUCACGGCAGGCAGUCGCCAGAAUACAUUAGCAUGGAAUAAUACUAUAGGAUUUCGAUUCUAUUUUGUUGGUUUCUAGAAUUGAGAUAAUGAUUAAUAGGGACAAUUGGGGGCAUUCGUAUCAAUGCGUCAGAGGUGGAAUUCUUGGAUUGCAUUGCGACGAACUACUGCGAAAGCAUCUGCCAAGG